RNAcentral lists this transfer RNA (72 nucleotides) under Camelus bactrianus (Bactrian camel). It matches the Rfam family "tRNA". From Rfam's summary of the family: Transfer RNA (tRNA) molecules are approximately 80 nucleotides in length. Their secondary structure includes four short double-helical elements and three loops (D, anti-codon, and T loops). The record is from Rfam by way of RNAcentral. RNAcentral also lists the same sequence under 2 other names. Lineage: Eukaryota; Metazoa; Chordata; Mammalia; Artiodactyla; Camelidae.
GAGGGUAUAGCUCAGUGGUAGAGCAUGUGCUUAGCAUGCACGAGGUCCUGUGUACAAUCCCCAAUGCUGCCA